This 508-nucleotide ribosomal RNA is filed under the name uncultured bacterium. RNAcentral's name for it is "partial 16S ribosomal RNA". It matches the Rfam family "Bacterial small subunit ribosomal RNA", at positions 28 to 523 of the family's 1533-position model. The record is from RNAcentral.
GAUGAACGCUAGCUACAGGCUUAACACAUGCAAGUCGAGGGGAAACGACAUCGAAAGCUUGCUUUUGAUGGGCGUCGACCGGCGCACGGGUGAGUAACGCGUAUCCAACCUGCCCACCACUUGGGGAUAACCUUGCGAAAGUAAGACUAAUACCCAAUGAUAUCUCUAGAAGACAUCUGAAAGAGAUUAAAGAUUUAUCGGUGAUGGAUGGGGAUGCGGCUGAUUAGCUUGUUGGCGGGGUAACGGCCCACCAAGGCUACGAUCAGUAGGGGUUCCGGAAGGAAGGUCCCCCACAUUGGAACUGAGACACGGUCCAAACUCCUACGGGAGGCAGCAGUGAGGAAUAUUGGUCAAUGGACGGGAGUCUGAACCAGCCAAGUAGCGUGCAGGAUGACGGCCCUAUGGGUUGUAACCUGCUUUUAUAAGGGAAUAAAGUGAGUCUCGUGAGACUUUUUGCAUGUACCUUAUGAAUAAGGACCGGCUAAUUCCGUGCCAGCCGCCGCGGUAA